RNAcentral lists this unclassified non-coding RNA (250 nucleotides) under Hevea brasiliensis (rubber tree). Lineage: Eukaryota; Viridiplantae; Streptophyta; Magnoliopsida; Malpighiales; Euphorbiaceae. The record is from RNAcentral.
AACAUGAUGCAGUCGAUAUGAACAGUUGUCCUGGUGGCAAGACUGCUGUCUGGGGCCACCGGAAGAAUGCAUUCUGCUAUGAUCACCUUCCCAUUUGGUGGCAGCGCUUUGUAACUAUUCUUCAAGAAUUUUAAGCAGUGUUCAUCGCUCCAGUCAUGGCAUAUCCACUUCAUGAAAAUGGCAUCUCCUUUAGGAACGCUAACAAACAUGUCUCCACCAACAUGCUCUACGCCAGGAAGGGAUGGAGCAU